RNAcentral lists this transfer RNA (83 nucleotides) under Sus scrofa (pig). It matches the Rfam family "tRNA". Rfam says of the family: Transfer RNA (tRNA) molecules are approximately 80 nucleotides in length. Their secondary structure includes four short double-helical elements and three loops (D, anti-codon, and T loops). Lineage: Eukaryota; Metazoa; Chordata; Mammalia; Artiodactyla; Suidae. The record is from Rfam by way of RNAcentral.
GGUUUUAUGGCCAAGGGGUCUAAGGUGCUGGAUUAAGACUCCAUCUUUUUUUGGAGGCAUGGGUUCAAAUCCCACUGCUGCCA